UUACCUGGAUAACUGUGGUAAUUCUAGAGCUAAUACAUGCUAAAAACCUCGACUCACGAAGAGGUGUAUUUAUUAGAUAAAAAACCAAUGCCCUUCGGGGCUCCUUGGUGAAUCAUAAUAACUUAACGAAUCGCAUGACCUUGCGUCGGCGAUGGUUCAUUCAAAUCUGUGCCCUAUCAACUUCGAUGGUACGAUAGAGGCGUACCAUGGUGUCAACGGGUAUGUUUGCUCUUUUCUUUAAAUUUUCUGCCAAAUUAGGGGCAAUCAGCUAACUUCGCAAAGGUAACGGGGGAUUAGGGUCCGAUCCCGGAGAGGGAGCCUGAGAAACGGCUACCACAUCCAAGGAAGGCAGCAGGCGCGCAAAUUACCCAAUGCCGACACGGCGAGGUAGUGACAAUAAAUACUGAUGCAGAGCUCUUUUGGGUUUUGCAAUUGGAAUGAGUACAAUUUAAAUUCCUUAACGAGGAACAAUUGGAGGGCAAGUCUGGUGCCAGCAGCCGCGGUAAUUCCAGCUCCAAUAGCGUAUAUUAAAGUUGUUGCAGUUAAAAAGCUCGUAGUUGAACUUUGGGCCUGGCUGACCGGUCCGCCUCACCGCGUGCACUGGUUCGGCCGGGCCUUUCCUCCUGGAGAUCCGCAUGCCCUUUACUGGGUGUGCUGGGGAACCAGGACUUUUACUUUGAAAAAAUUAGAGUGUUCAAAGCAGGUCUAUGCUCGAAUACAUUAGCAUGGAAUAAUAGAAUAGGACGGAGGUUCUAUUUUGUUGGUUUCUAGGACUGCCGUAAUGAUUAAUAGGGAUAGUCGGGGGCAUCAGGUAUGUUCAAUUCUAUCAACAGUCAACCCAAAACCGUAUACUAACAGAUUCUAUAGUAUUCAAUUGUCAGAGGUGAAAUUCUUGGAUUUAUUGAAGACUAACUACUGCGAAAGCAUUUGCCAAGGAUGUUUUCAUUAAUCAGUGAACGAAAGUUAGGGGAUCGAAGACGAUCAGAUACCGUCGUAGUCUUAACCAUAAACUAUGCCGACUAGGGAUCGGCCGGUGUUAUUAUUUUGACCCGGUCGGCACCUUACGAGAAAUCAAAGUUUUUAGGUUCUGGGGGGAGUAUGGUCGCAAGGCUGAAACUUAAAGAAAUUGACGGAAAGGCACCACCAGGCGUGGAGCCUGCGGCUUAAUUUGACUCAACACGGGGAAACUCACCAGGUCCAGACUCAGUAAGGAUUGACAGAUUGAGAGCUCUUUCUUGAUUCUGAGGUUGGUGGUGCAUGGCCGUUCUUAGUUGGUGGAGUGAUUUGUCUGCUUAAUUGCGAUAACGAACGAGACCUUACCCUGCUAAAUAGUCCGGCCCGCUUUGGCGGGUCGCAGACUUCUUAGAGGGACUAUCGGCUNCAAGCCGAUGGAAGUUUGAGGCAAUAACAGGUCUGUGAUGCCCUUAGAUGUCCUGGGCCGCACGGUAUGUACCACUUAAAACUUUCCGUGUAUAUCCAACUAACGUUUUUAUAGCGCGCUACACUGACAGAGCCAACGAGUAAUUUACCUUGGCCGGAAGGUCUGGGCAAUCUUGUUAAACUCUGUCGUGCUGGGGAUAGAGCAUUGCAAUUAUUGCUCUUCAACGAGGAAUGCCUAGUAGGCGCAAGUCAUCAGCUUGCGCCGAUUACGUCCCUGCCCUUUGUACACACCGCCCGUCGCUACUACCGAUUGAAUGGCUCAGUGAGGCCUCCGGACUGGCUCAGAGAGAUGGGCAACUAUCACUCAGAGCCGGAAAG
Molecule: ribosomal RNA, 1758 nt
Filed under: Cryptodiscus galaninae
Lineage: Eukaryota; Fungi; Ascomycota; Lecanoromycetes; Ostropales; Stictidaceae
Description: SSU rRNA
Rfam family: Eukaryotic small subunit ribosomal RNA
Source: RNAcentral